UUGUGGGCAGGACAUCUGCUGUUCCACAGAGGCUGUAGAGAAAUCAGUGUUGGAAGGGUUUGGAAAUAAUUACAAGGUGUUUGAUUAGGGAAAUGUUCAUCAAAGAAGCUGUUACUAAGUUAAAUAUCAAGAAAUGAUGACAUGGUGAAUUCAAGAUGUAAAUUACAUAUUGAAGAUUUUACUAUAAGCAGAAAUAGCGCUUACUGAAUUCCUGUGGGUUCUGAUUCAGGACCGAAGCACUUCCUUACUGCGGGCUGAAAGAUAAUGGAAGUGAAAAACCAUUUUCCUUUUCCCAAGGCAGUAUUUAGAGGUGGAGAAAUAUCCGUAACUUUGAUUUCUGCUUUAUGAGCAAGGGAAGGGACCUAACAACUCACUGAGAAGAGUGCUCUGUGUGGGGUACCGAGCCUUGACUGGAACUGCAAGGAUGUUCCUGGAGCAAGCCUUCAAAAACUGACUUGUCAGCUUCAGAGCUGCAACUCACUGAAGGUCAUCAAUAAAUCUUCUAGAUUUUUUUCCUUAUACAGCUUAUAUGGUCCUUUCUUUGAAAAGCUGAUAUGUGCUUGUUUUGUACUCUUGACAUUACUAUGCAUGUACUUCGAGGCCUAUUUCAAAGUUUUGCUAUCACCGUUGCCUUUUAGAUUUGAAACUGUUUUCCCUCCAUGUGAAGUGUUGUGCUUGGAACAUCUCCACGGUUGUCCAUGAGAGUUCUGGCAGGGGUUGCUCCCCUGGAACAAAAGGGAAAUAUGCUGUGAUAUGUCUCAGACACUGAAAGCGUUGCUUGUUCCUCCUCUUCUUCCUGACUGGAGUUCCAGUGAUUGUUGCAGUUCUAUCAUCACCCACAUUGGUAAAAAGGGAGGCUUCAUUUCUUGCAACUACUACCGCAAAGAUGGGUCCUAAGUACUUUUAUUUAGGAAUAUGAGGGUAUAUUUAUGGCUUUAAAAUGAUCAUCAGUAUAUUCUUCUAUUG
This 966-nucleotide long non-coding RNA is filed under the name Numida meleagris (helmeted guineafowl). Its description in RNAcentral is "lncRNA (ENSNMEG00000012441.1)". Lineage: Eukaryota; Metazoa; Chordata; Aves; Galliformes; Numididae. The record is from RNAcentral.